UACAGAGGGGGCAAGCGUUGUUCGGAAUUACUGGGCGUAAAGGGCGCGUAGGCGGCCUGUUAAGUCGAACGUGAAAUCCCCGGGCUCAACCCGGGAACUGCGUCCGAUACUGGCAGGCUUGAAUCCGGGAGAGGGAUGCGGAAUUCCAGGUGUAGCGGUGAAAUGCGUAGAUAUCUGGAGGAACACCGGUGGCGAAGGCGGCAUCCUGGACCGGCAUUGACGCUGAGGCGCGAAAGCCCAGGGGAGGCAAACGGG
Molecule: ribosomal RNA, 255 nt
Filed under: uncultured bacterium
Lineage: Bacteria
Description: partial 16S ribosomal RNA
Rfam family: Bacterial small subunit ribosomal RNA
Source: RNAcentral